This 654-nucleotide ribosomal RNA is filed under the name Limosilactobacillus mucosae. RNAcentral's name for it is "bacterial SSU rRNA". It matches the Rfam family "Bacterial small subunit ribosomal RNA", at positions 47 to 685 of the family's 1533-position model. The record is from RNAcentral. Lineage: Bacteria; Bacillati; Bacillota; Bacilli; Lactobacillales; Lactobacillaceae.
CUGAUUGAACGUGCUUGCACGGACUUGACGUUGGUUUACCAGCGAGUGGCGGACGGGUGAGUAACACGUAGGUAACCUGCCCCAAAGCGGGGGAUAACAUUUGGAAACAGAUGCUAAUACCGCAUAACAAUUUGAAUCGCAUGAUUCAAAUUUAAAAGAUGGCUUCGGCUAUCACUUUGGGAUGGACCUGCGGCGCAUUAGCUUGUUGGUAGGGUAACGGCCUACCAAGGCUGUGAUGCGUAGCCGAGUUGAGAGACUGAUCGGCCACAAUGGAACUGAGACACGGUCCAUACUCCUACGGGAGGCAGCAGUAGGGAAUCUUCCACAAUGGGCGCAAGCCUGAUGGAGCAACACCGCGUGAGUGAAGAAGGGUUUCGGCUCGUAAAGCUCUGUUGUUAGAGAAGAACGUGCGUGAGAGCAACUGUUCACGCAGUGACGGUAUCUAACCAGAAAGUCACGGCUAACUACGUGCCAGCAGCCGCGGUAAUACGUAGGUGGCAAGCGUUAUCCGGAUUUAUUGGGCGUAAAGCGAGCGCAGGCGGUUUGAUAAGUCUGAUGUGAAAGCCUUUGGCUUAACCAAAGAAGUGCAUCGGAAACUGUCAGACUUGAGUGCAGAAGAGGACAGUGGAACUCUGGGGUUGGGCGGGGGGUGGA